CAACAAAAUAUUAAACAGAAAUUUGUGGCCUUACUCAAAAGAUUCCGAGUGUCAGAUGAGGUGUUAGCCCUGGAGCACGUGUCUACGGAGCAGAUCCAAGAGGUGGAGGAGGAUCUGGACUUGUUGUACGAUAGUUUGGAAUUGUAUAACCCAAGUGACAGUGGUCCUGAGAUGGAGGAGACUGAGAGCGUGCUCAGCACGCCGAAACCAAAGCUGAAGCCGUUUUUUGAAGGGGUUUCCCAGUCGAGCUCUCAGACUGAGAUCGGGAGCCUGAACAGUAAAGGCAGUCUCAGUAAGGAGUUAUCCAGCCCAGUAAGUGACUCAAACAGAUACUGUGUGUUACAGGGGCGGGGGAAAAGGAAGCUGGUGGUGGUAGUGGAGGAA
Molecule: non-coding RNA, 384 nt
Organism: Chiloscyllium plagiosum (whitespotted bambooshark)
Lineage: Eukaryota; Metazoa; Chordata; Chondrichthyes; Orectolobiformes; Hemiscylliidae
Source: RefSeq, a predicted model, not a curated record